Chelonia mydas (Green sea turtle) is the source of this 184-nucleotide non-coding RNA. The record is from Rfam. Lineage: Eukaryota; Metazoa; Chordata; Testudines; Cheloniidae.
AUUGCUUCUUGGCCUUUGUUAGCUAAGAUCAAGCAUAGUACCUGUUCUUACCAGUUUAAUAUCUGAUAUGUUCUUUAUCUAAGGACUACAUAUUAAAUGGAUUUUUGGAACAGGGAGCUGGAUUAGGUGUUUACUCCGUGCAUCAACCUGGUUUUGCAGUAUCUCCAGGACUGGUGCCCUUCCU